UUGCCUCUAGAGGGAAUGAACAGGAGGAGGGGCCAUGAGAUUUAUUCUAUAGUCAUUCUACCAAGCAACAUGGCCUCUAAUUGGGUCGAACAAAUGCUCUAUAUGGAGAACCACCAUAUAUGCAUUUAACUUGCAGACUAACAGCCCAAGUGUGAGAGAGGACGAUGUAAAUAGUGUGGGAAAUUCCCUAGAGUGAGUGUGACAUGUAAGGUCGGAAUCUGCUGCUCAGCCACUCUCAGCUCCUUCAGUCUCUCUUAGACGUGAACAUGUGCUCUGGCCUAAGUGUGAUCCUAGUUUUUUAAGAUUUGCAUAUUUUAAACAAUGUGGCUUCUACUAAGUGAGAGCCAACGAUUACAUUUGGUACCCAGCCAAAGAAAACAGAAAAUGAUUCCACUUCUAGAAUUAAAACAAAACAAAACAACUAUGCUGGUCUCAUUAAGAGAAGUCAUGUGGCCUCCAACACAAUGUCUUCCCAAGGAAUUUUUCAGAGUGAUUUUGAUUACAUGCAACUUUUCCUUCCCUGUGAACUUUAGAACCCCAGGUAACCACCUCAUACCAUGAAAGAUCGGAGGCAGCUUAUAAGAGACACAUACACUUUAAGGGUGAAUUAUAAAUAAAAAGUACAAAAUGAGACCAGGGGAAAUAUAAAUUAGUGGGGCAGGUCGGGCUCCAGUGGGUGGCAAAGCAGAGAACAUCUAUCCAGUUAGCCUAUGAGGCUUGACCCUCAGAGUUGCUGUCCUUGGGCUGGACUUGACCACCUGUAACUUAAGAUAAAACAGUCCCACCCUUAAGGUCAUCAAAUGAAAGACACAAGGACAGCAUAGCAGAGGCCUAGCUGGCUUGUCAGAAAAAUGCACGGGAGAUUUCAGUUGGCUAAAACCUCAAUAUGAGCCACUGCAUGGCCAGGCUGUGCAAAGGAGUGGGGCUCCAUUAAUAGUGCACGGUGUGGCCCCACUGAGGAGGAGAGAGUCCUCCCGCACACAGCACUGGCUGUACGUUCACAUUUGCAAUCAACACAUUGGAAUAUGUCACCAUGUGCCAACUGGUCAGUGUCAAAGGGUAGAUACAGUGGAACCCUCCAGGAGCUCACACAGUCUGUCCAAAGAGCCAGUGAGGAGAAAUAGCAACAAUCCUGCUUGAUAUGUGCUCGCAGGAGAUCCCAUUAGGACUUUGGUGCUUGUGGUUGGUUCUAAUUGUUUUUCUAAAAGGACAUUCACAAGAAGAACUACAGAGGAUGAGUCUUCUCUUUUGGUGUCUAAGCCCCCAGCAGGGCUCCUGAUAAAAACCUGCUAGCUACUCAGGCCCUUCAUAAACAGCUGGCACAACAGCAGCGAUGUCAGAUCUGGUGCAGGGAUGCUGGGCUUGUGAUGGAGUCUGGAACCUGCCAGAAGCCUGGCAUCACAGCCAUUCUCGGACAUCCUCGUGAGUACUUUGAAAGCCUCAGUAUUGCAGCCUCUCGUUCCUCCUGGAUGCUGUUAAAGGGUGUUCUGUAAAGGAAGGGCAUCUCCUUGAAUUGAUUCUCCUCCAUCAGAUGGGACCUGUGUUGAACAAAGGAAGAUAAAAUGGAUCAGCCCCCAACCCAAAUCCAUCAAUUUCAAGCCUGUGUGUGGUGAAACCAGCAUAGUCUUUGGAGUUGCCAGACGUAGGUUUGAAUCCUAGAGCAGCCUCUCCAUGGCACUGUUACCUUGGGCUAGCCCUGAAACCACAUGAGACUCAGCUUCCUUUGCCUGGAAAAUGGAAAUUUGAAUCCCGCACUCACAGAGUUGUAAGCACUGAAUGAGAUCAUGAAAAUAAGUGAUUGGCUUAAUAAAUAUCAAGAUUCUCAU
RNAcentral lists this long non-coding RNA (1826 nucleotides) under Homo sapiens (human). RNAcentral's name for it is "HSALNT0388482". The record is from RNAcentral. Lineage: Eukaryota; Metazoa; Chordata; Mammalia; Primates; Hominidae.